Molecule: small nuclear RNA, 105 nt
Organism: Pongo abelii (Sumatran orangutan)
Lineage: Eukaryota; Metazoa; Chordata; Mammalia; Primates; Hominidae
Source: Ensembl
GUGCUCACUUCAGCAGCAUAUAUACUAAAACUGGAAUGAUAGAGAAGAUUAGCAUGGCCCCUGUGGAAGGAUGACACACAAAUUCAUAAAGCGUUCCAUAGUUUU